GACGAACGCUGGCGGCGUGCUUAACACAUGCAAGUCGAACGGAGUGGCGAACGGGUGAGUAACACGUGGGUGAUCUGCCUUGCACUUCGGGAUAAGCUUGGGAAACUGGGUCUAAUACCGGAUAGUGCAAGAUGAGCUCGCGGCCUAUCAGCUUGGUGGUGGGGUAAUGGCCUACCAAGGCGUCGACUGGUAGCCGGCCUGAGAGGGUGUACGGCCACAUUGGUCCUGAGAUACGGCCCAGACUCCUACCGGAGGCAGUAGUGGGGAAUAUUGAACAAUUGGCGGAAGCCUGAGGCAGAGACUCCGCGUGGGGGAUGAAGUCCUUCGGGUUGUAAACUCCGUUCGACAGGGACGCGGUACCUGUAUAAGAAGCACCGGCUAACUACGUGCCAGCAGCCGCGGUAAUUC
Molecule: ribosomal RNA, 408 nt
Filed under: uncultured bacterium
Lineage: Bacteria
Description: partial 16S ribosomal RNA
Rfam family: Bacterial small subunit ribosomal RNA
Source: RNAcentral